Molecule: ribosomal RNA, 1155 nt
Filed under: uncultured bacterium
Lineage: Bacteria
Description: bacterial SSU rRNA
Rfam family: Bacterial small subunit ribosomal RNA
Source: RNAcentral
GUGGGGAAUAUUGGACAAUGGGCGCAAGCCUGAUCCAGCCAUGCCGCGUGUGUGAAGAAGGCCUUAGGAUUGUAAAGCACUUUAAGCGGGGAGGAAGGUUCGUCACCUAAUACGUGACGGAAUUGACGUUACCUGCAGAAUAAGCACCGGCUAACUCUGUGCCAGCAGCCGCGGUAAUACAGAGGGUGCAAGCGUUAAUCGGAAUUACUGGGCGUAAAGCGCGCGUAGGCGGUUGUGUAAGUUGGAGGUGAAAUCCCCGGGCUUAACCUGGGCACUGCCUUCAAAACUGCACGGCUAGAGUAUGGGAGAGGAAGGUAGAAUUCCAGGUGUAGCGGUGAAAUGCGUAGAGAUCUGGAGGAAUACCGAUGGCGAAGGCAGCCUUCUGGCCUAAUACUGACGCUGAGGUGCGAAAGCAUGGGGAGCAAACAGGAUUAGAUACCCUGGUAGUCCAUGCCGUAAACGAUGUCAACUAGGUGUUGGGGAACUUGAUUCCUUAGUGCCGCAGCUAACGCAUUAAGUUGACCGCCUGGGGAGUACGACCGCAAGGUUAAAACUCAAAUGAAUUGACGGGGGCCCGCACAAGCGGUGGAGCAUGUGGUUUAAUUCGAUGCAACGCGAAGAACCUUACCUACUCUUGACAUCCACAGAAUCCUGCAGAGAUGCGGGAGUGCCUUCGGGAAUUGUGAGACAGGUGCUGCAUGGCUGUCGUCAGCUCGUGUCGUGAGAUGUUGGGUUAAGUCCCGCAACGAGCGCAACCCUUGUCCUUAGUUGCCAGCGAGUAAUGUCGGGAACUCUAAGGAGACUGCCGGUGACAAACCGGAGGAAGGCGGGGACGACGUCAAGUCAUCAUGGCCCUUACGAGUAGGGCUACACACGUGCUACAAUGGUCGGUACAGAGGGUUGCUAGCCCGCGAGGGUACGCCAAUCUCUAAAAGCCGAUCGUAGUCCGGAUUGGAGUCUGCAACUCGACUCCAUGAAGUCGGAAUCGCUAGUAAUCGCGGAUCAGAAUGCCGCGGUGAAUACGUUCCCGGGCCUUGUACACACCGCCCGUCACACCAUGGGAGUGGGUUGCACCAGAAGUAGUUAGCCUAACCGCAAGGGGGGCGAUUACCACGGUGUGAUUCAUGACUGGGGUGAAGUCGUAACAAGGUAACC